This 253-nucleotide ribosomal RNA is filed under the name uncultured bacterium. RNAcentral describes it as "partial 16S ribosomal RNA". It matches the Rfam family "Bacterial small subunit ribosomal RNA", at positions 524 to 776 of the family's 1533-position model. The record is from RNAcentral.
GACAGAGGGGGCAAGCGUUGCUCGGAAUUACUGGGCGUAAAGGGCGCGUAGGCGGGAUGGCAAGUCGGUCGUGAAAUCCCUCGGCUCAACUGAGGAUCGUCGAUCGAUACUGCCGUUCUUGAGGAUUGCAGAGGAGACUGGAAUUUCCGGUGGAGCGGUGAAAUGCGUAGAUAUCUGGAGGAACACCGGUGGCGAAGGCGGCGUUCUGGACUGCAACUGACACUGAAAAACGAAAGCCAGGGGAGCAAACGGG